AAUGAUUCUCAGAGUAUUUUGACCAGCGAAUAUGAAGAUCUAAAAAUAAAUGAUUCGGGUAAUUAAAAUAAAAAUAUGUGACUUUAAUUGAUUGAUGUUUUCACACCAAAAUUCUCCUUUUAAAAUUACUAUUUUUAACAAACAAACGUCCAACGCCUGACCUCAUUUUCACUAGUGCUUAUUGCGAGUCGAUUCGCAUUAGAAAUAUUUUUUUAAAUUUUGUUGUUGAAUUCUCGAAUUUCCGACAUUAUUAUGAGAAAAUACAGAAAAACGAAUAAAAAGUGACUUUUUUAUUUUUUGUUAUUGGAAAAUCUAAAUAUUAGAGUAAAUAUUUAUAACAAUAAAUACGAAAAUAAUAAUAAGCAUAAAAUUUAAAAGGAAAGCCAAAAGAAGAAUCAGAAAAAAAUCCCUCCCCAUAUGGUCAUCAUAGAGAUCCACGUUCCUGAGGAACCAUGGUGCUCCGACAGCUAUCCUGCAAAAUCGGGAUUGAUCAAGGUUGCGUUAAACGUUUAACGCUACCAUACUAGAAAGAGACAGAGCGACAGUGAAUGCGUGGCUCGCCAGCGUCAGCAACGAGUAGCGUCCAAUAUUUUAAUGAAGUAUUUAAAUAAAUAUAUUUUUAUUUA
Bombyx mori (domestic silkworm) is the source of this 626-nucleotide long non-coding RNA. RefSeq lists it as uncharacterized. The record is from RefSeq and is a predicted model, not a curated record. Lineage: Eukaryota; Metazoa; Arthropoda; Insecta; Lepidoptera; Bombycidae. The transcript is spliced from 2 exons.